CUAUGUCGGCGACCGGCGCACGGGUGCGUAACGCGUAUGCAACCUACCCAUUACAGGGGGAUAACACUGAGAAAUCGGUACUAAUACCCCAUAACAUCCAGGGAGGCAUCUUCUUGGGUUGAAAACUCCGGUGGUAAUGGAUGGGCAUGCGUUGUAUUAGUUAGUUGGUGGGGUAACGGCUCACCAAGACAACGAUACAUAGGGGGACUGAGAGGUUAACCCCCCCACAUUGGUACUGAGACACGGACCAAACUCCUACGGAAGGCAGCAG
Molecule: ribosomal RNA, 271 nt
Filed under: uncultured bacterium
Lineage: Bacteria
Description: partial 16S ribosomal RNA
Rfam family: Bacterial small subunit ribosomal RNA
Source: RNAcentral